Molecule: non-coding RNA, 26 nt
Filed under: Homo sapiens (human)
Lineage: Eukaryota; Metazoa; Chordata; Mammalia; Primates; Hominidae
Source: RNAcentral
GAGCGAGGUGAGAAGCUAGAUGACUU